GUCAGGGAGUUGCUGGGUGGGAUU
This 24-nucleotide non-coding RNA is filed under the name Cricetulus griseus (Chinese hamster). Lineage: Eukaryota; Metazoa; Chordata; Mammalia; Rodentia; Cricetidae. The record is from RNAcentral.